UAAGAAAAUGCAUACAGCUCUCCCUCAGCAAACAACAAUUACUGCUUACAGCUUUUCUGGAAACAGUAACAAUGCCAGGAAGGACAGAAGGAAUUGAGCUUUGCACUCAAAUAAACACACUCCCUCCCUUUCGAAGUUGCCUCUGAACUGCUCAGGAAGAGAAACAGCAAGCAACAUUUUCUAAUAUGAGCAGCAAGGACAUCGCUCCUCAGGAAGAGAAAAAGAUGUUCCAACUGCCUUGACUUCAGCCUGGUGGAUGCAUUGUCAUUCAAUGAGGCUGAAGCAGGAGGAUUGCUGUGAGUUCAAGGCUCAGCAUGGGUUGCAUAGUGAGUUGCAGACCAGCCUGAGGUACCAGAUUCUACUACUCCCAACAGUGCCUAACUGGAGGCCAGAAUUUGCCAACUGUGCCUUUUGGG
This 416-nucleotide long non-coding RNA is filed under the name Cricetulus griseus (Chinese hamster). Its description in RNAcentral is "lncRNA (ENSCGRG00015033510.1)". Lineage: Eukaryota; Metazoa; Chordata; Mammalia; Rodentia; Cricetidae. The record is from RNAcentral.